UCUACGGUAGGCAGCAGUGGGGAAUCUUGCACAAUGGGGGAAACCCUGAUGCAGCGACGCCGCGUGAGUGAAGAAGUAUUUCGGUACGUAAAGCUCUAUCAGCAGGGAAGAACAUGACGGUACCUGACUAAGAAGCCCCGGCUAACUACGUGCCAGCCGCCGCGGUAAUAUGUAGGGGGCAAGCGUUAUCCUGAUUCACGGGGUGGAAAUGGAGCGUAGACGGCAGCGCAAGUCUGGAGUGAAAUCCCAUGGCUUAACCAUGGAACUGCUUUGGAAACUGUGCAGCUGGAGUGCAGGAGAGGUAAGCGGAAUUCCUAGUGUAGAGGUGAAAUGCGUAGAUAUUAGGAGGAACACCAGUGGCGAAGGCGGCUUACUGGACUGUAACUGACGUUGAGGCUCGAAAGCGUGGGGAGCAAACAGGAUUAGAUACCCUGGUAGUC
This 440-nucleotide ribosomal RNA is filed under the name uncultured bacterium. RNAcentral describes it as "partial 16S ribosomal RNA". It matches the Rfam family "Bacterial small subunit ribosomal RNA", at positions 338 to 795 of the family's 1533-position model. The record is from RNAcentral.